CGGGGCGUGGCGCAGCCUGGCAGCGCGCUCGCUUUGGGAGCGAGAGGUCCCGGGUUCAAAUCCCGGCGCCCCGA
This 74-nucleotide transfer RNA is filed under the name Actinomycetota bacterium. RNAcentral describes it as "tRNA-Pro". It matches the Rfam family "tRNA". Rfam says of the family: Transfer RNA (tRNA) molecules are approximately 80 nucleotides in length. Their secondary structure includes four short double-helical elements and three loops (D, anti-codon, and T loops). Further hydrogen bonds mediate the characteristic L-shaped molecular structure. tRNAs have two regions of fundamental functional importance: the anti-codon, which is responsible for specific mRNA codon recognition, and the 3' end, to which the tRNAs corresponding amino acid is attached (by aminoacyl-tRNA synthetases). tRNAs cope with the degeneracy of the genetic code in two manners: having more than one tRNA (with a specific anti-codon) for a particular amino acid; and 'wobble' base-pairing, i.e. permitting non-standard base-pairing at the 3rd anti-codon position. Lineage: Bacteria; Bacillati; Actinomycetota. The record is from RNAcentral.